This 253-nucleotide ribosomal RNA is filed under the name uncultured bacterium. RNAcentral's name for it is "partial 16S ribosomal RNA". It matches the Rfam family "Bacterial small subunit ribosomal RNA", at positions 524 to 776 of the family's 1533-position model. The record is from RNAcentral.
UACGUAGGGUGCGAGCGUUGUCCGGAAUCAUUGGGCGUAAAGAGCUCGUAGGCGGUUUGUCGCGUCGGAUGUGAAAUUUUAGGGCUCAACCCUGACAUUGCAUCCGAUACGGGCAGGCUAGAGUUCGGUAGGGGAGACUGGAAUUCCUGGUGUAGCGGUGAAAUGCGCAGAUAUCAGGAGGAACACCGGUGGCGAAGGCGGAUCUCUGGGAAACAACUGACGCUGAGGAACGAAAGCGUGGGUAGCAAACAGG